AUUGAACGCUGGCGGCAGGCCUAACACAUGCAAGUCGAACGAGUGGCGGACGGGUGAGUAAUGUCUGGGAGACUGCCCGAUGGAGGGGGAGAACUCCUGGAAACGGUAGCUAAUACCGCAUACCAUCGGAUGUGCCCAGAUGGGGUUAGAUUGUAGGUGAGGGAACGGCUCACCUCUGCGACGCUCCCUAGCUGGUCUGAGAGGAUGAGCCGCCACACUGGGACUGAGACACGGUCCAGACUCCUACGGGAGGCAGCAGUGGGGAAUAUUGCACAAUGGGCGCAAGUCUGACGUAGCCAGGCCGCGUGUAUGAAGAAGGCCUUCGGGUUGUAAAGCACUUUCAGUGGGGAGGCGUUACCCGCAGAGGAAGCACCGGCUAACUCCGUGCCAGCCGCCGCGGUAAUUC
This 406-nucleotide ribosomal RNA is filed under the name uncultured bacterium. Its description in RNAcentral is "partial 16S ribosomal RNA". It matches the Rfam family "Bacterial small subunit ribosomal RNA", at positions 30 to 526 of the family's 1533-position model. The record is from RNAcentral.